UACGUAGGGUGCGAGCGUUGUCCGGAAUUACUGGGCGUAAAGAGCUCGUAGGCGGUUUGUUGCGUUGUCCGUGAAAACUCACAACUCAAUUGUGGGCGUGCGGGCGAUACGGGCAGACUGGAGUACUGCAGGGGAGACUGGAAUUCCUGGUGUAGCGGUGGAAUGCGCAGAUAUCAGGAGGAACACCGGUGGCGAAGGCGGGUCUCUGGGCCGAUACUGACGCUGAGGAGCGAAAGCGUGGGGAGCGAACAGG
Molecule: ribosomal RNA, 253 nt
Filed under: uncultured bacterium
Lineage: Bacteria
Description: partial 16S ribosomal RNA
Rfam family: Bacterial small subunit ribosomal RNA
Source: RNAcentral